This 254-nucleotide ribosomal RNA is filed under the name uncultured bacterium. RNAcentral describes it as "partial 16S ribosomal RNA". It matches the Rfam family "Bacterial small subunit ribosomal RNA", at positions 524 to 776 of the family's 1533-position model. The record is from RNAcentral.
UACGAAGGGGGCUAGCGUUGUUCGGAAUCACUGGGCGUAAAGCGCACGUAGGCGGAUCGUUAAGUCGGGGGUGAAAUCCCGAGGCUCAACCUCGGAACUGCCUUCGAUACUGGCGAUCUUUGAGUCCGGGAGAGGUGAGUGGAACUCCGAGUGUAGAGGUGAAAUUCGUAGAUAUUCGGAAGAACACCAGUGGCGAAGGCGGCUCACUGGACUGGUAUUGACGCUGAGGUGCGAAAGCGUGGGGAGCAAACAGG